GUGGGGAAUUUUGGACAAUGGGCGAAAGCCUGAUCCAGCCAUGCCGCGUGCAGGAUGAAGGCCUUCGGGUUGUAAACUGCUUUUGUACGGAACGAAAAGACUCCUUCUAAUAAAGGGGGUCCAUGACGGUACCGUAAGAAUAAGCACCGGCUAACUACGUGCCAGCAGCCGCGGUAAUACGUAGGGUGCAAGCGUUAAUCGGAAUUACUGGGCGUAAAGCGUGCGCAGGCGGUUAUAUAAGACAGAUGUGAAAUCCCCGGGCUCAACCUGGGAACUGCAUUUGUGACUGUAUAGCUAGAGUACGGUAGAGGGGGAUGGAAUUCCGCGUGUAGCAGUGAAAUGCGUAGAUAUGCGGAGGAACACCGAUGGCGAAGGCAAUCCCCUGGGCCUGCACUGACGCUCAUGCACGAAAGCGUGGGGAGCAAACAGGAUUAGAAACCCCGGUAGUCC
This 450-nucleotide ribosomal RNA is filed under the name uncultured bacterium. RNAcentral describes it as "partial 16S ribosomal RNA". It matches the Rfam family "Bacterial small subunit ribosomal RNA", at positions 354 to 796 of the family's 1533-position model. The record is from RNAcentral.